GCGCAGCAGGCGCGAAACCUCCGCAAUACACGAAAGUGUGACGGGGCCAUCCCGAGUGCCGUCCGCUGAGGACGGCUUUUCCCCAGUGUACACAGCUGGGGGAAUAAGGAGAGGGCAAGCCUGGUGUCGGCCGCCGCGGUAAUACCAGCUCUCCGAGUGGUGGGGACGCUUAUUGGGCCUAAAGCAUCCGUAGCCGGCUGGGCAAGUCCUCCGUUAAAUCCAACGAUUCAAUCGUUGGGCUGCGGGGGAUACUGUCCAGCUUGGGGGCGGGAGAGGCCGACGGUAUUCCCGGGGUAGGGGUGAAAUCCUAUAAUCCCGGGAGGACCACCAGUGGCGAAGGCUGUCGGCUAGAACGCGCCCGACGGUGAGGGAUGAAAGCUGGGGGAGCGAACCGGAUUAGAUA
This 403-nucleotide ribosomal RNA is filed under the name uncultured microorganism. RNAcentral's name for it is "bacterial SSU rRNA". It matches the Rfam family "Archaeal small subunit ribosomal RNA", at positions 330 to 735 of the family's 1478-position model. The record is from RNAcentral.